RNAcentral lists this long non-coding RNA (2710 nucleotides) under Homo sapiens (human). RNAcentral describes it as "HSALNT0401418". Lineage: Eukaryota; Metazoa; Chordata; Mammalia; Primates; Hominidae. The record is from RNAcentral.
AAUGCACAGAGAAGAAUCACCCGACUGGCUUGAACUUUCAUGUGAAAGGAAUGAACCUCUGUCUUAGUAAAGCCACCGUGAUUCAGGGUCCUUGUGAUAUUCACUGAGGCUGUAACAUAAUUGUUGAAAGAACAGGAGCGGGAGGGGAGAUGGAGUCGGAGAGGCAGGCAGAGGUCAGAUCACAUGGGGCCUGUAGGCCAAGGCGGAGGAAGAAACAGGUGACAUAGGACUCAAGGACCCCACCUGCUCCCAGGCGAAGGGAGUUUGCUGUGGGUGCCCCUCCCUGUCUGUGUGUCCAGUGUAUUCAUAUUCUUCAUACCUUGCCCAUAUUGGACAAAUACUUUUUUCUAUUCAAUAUUUAGAAGACAUUGCAUUAAAUAGCAAGAUGGCAGGUGAACAUCAGGAAGGAACAUUAGGAACAUCCACGGCGUUCCAUCCAGGAACCUUCACCGUGGAAACUCUUGUGCUCAUGGGCGUGGUCUCAAGACACAGUCAGCUGUUGGGGAUCAGAGGCGACACUCAUUGUAGCAGAGAGGCAGGACCAACUGGGAGAGGGUCCUUCUGUGACAACUAUUGCAUCACCGGGCUGUGUGAAGUGACUCAGCUGCCAGAACUCACACAAUAUCAUUCUACACCAAACCUCACGGGAAAAAUGGUCUGCAGCUUCCAGUCCCUCAAAUAACAACAUUGCUCCUCCCUGGAUCUGCAGCUCCACGACCCUCAGACUAGAACACGAUCUGUCCUCCCUGGGUCACCAGCUUCCGAACCUUCGAACUAAAACAACAUUGCUCCUCCCUGGGUCUGCAGCUCCACGACCCUCAAACUAGAAAAAGACCUCUCCUCACUGUGUCGCCAGCUUCUGGACCCUCGAACUACAAAAACAUUGCUCCUGCCUGGGUCUGCAGCUCCACGACCCUCAAUCCAGAUCAAGAUCUCUCCUCCCUGUGUCAUCAGCUUCCUGACCCUCGAACUAUGACAGCAUUGCUCCUCCCUGGGCGCACCCUCAAACUAGAACAAGACCUCUCCACCCUGCGUCGCCAGUUUCCGGAGCCUCAAACUAAAACAACCUUGCUCCUCCCUGGGUCUGCAGCUCCACAACCCUCAAACUAGAACCAGACCUCUCCUCCCUGUGUUGCCAGCUUCCUGACCCUUGAACUAUGGAAACAUGGCUCCUCCCUAGGUCUGCAGCUCCACGACCCUCAAACUAAAACAAGAUCUCUCCUCCCUGGGUCUGCAGCUCCACGACCCUCAAACUAAAACAAGAUCUCUCCUCCCUGUGUCAUCAGCUUCCAGUCCCUCAAAUAACAACAUUGCUCCUCCCUGGGUCUGCAGCUCCACGACCCUCAAACUAAAACAAGACCUCUCCUCUCUAGGUCUGCAGCUUCCAGUCCCUCAAAUAACAACAUUGCUCCUCCCUGGAUCUGCAGCUCCAUGACUCUCAGACUACAACAAGAUCUCUCCUCCCUGGGUCACCAGCUUCCGGACCCUCGAACUACGAAAACAUUGCUCCUCCCUGGGUCUCCAGCUCCAUGACCCUCAAACUAAAACAAGAUCUCUCCUCCCUGUGUCAUCAGCUUCCAGUCCCUCAAAUAACAACAUUGCUCCUCCCUGGGUCUGCAGCUCCACGACCCUUAAACUAGAACAAGACCUCUCCUCACUGUGUCGCCAGCUUCCGGACCCUUGAACUAUGAAAACAUUGCUCCUCCCUGGGUCCGCAGCUCCACGACCCUCAAACUAAAACAAGAUCUCUCCUCCCUAGGUCUGCAGCUUCCAGUCCCUCAAAUAACAACAUUGCUCCUCCCUGGAUCUGCAGCUCCACGACCCUCAGACUAGAACAAGACCUCUCCUCCCUGAGUCACCAGCUUCCGAACCUUCGAACUAAAACAACAUUGCUCCUCCCUGGGUCCGCAGCUCCAUGACCCUCAAACUAGAACAAGACCUCUCCUCCCUAGGUCUGCAGCUUCCAGUCCCCAAAUAACAACAUUGCUCCUCCCUGGAUCUGCAGCUCCACGACCCUCAGACUAGAACAAGAUCUCUCCUCCCUGGGUCACCAGCUUCCGGACCCUGGAACUACAAAAACAUUGCUCCUCCCUGGGUCUGCAGCUCCACAACCCUCAAACUAAAACAAGAUCUCUCCUCCCUGUGUUGCCAGCUUCCGGACCCUCGAACUAUGACAACAUUGCUCCUCCCUGGGUCUGCAGCUCCACGACCCUCAAAGCAGAUCAAGAUCUCUCCUUCCUGUGUCAUCAGCUUCCUGACCCUUGAACUAUGACAACAUUGCUCCUCCCUGGGUCUGCAGCUCCAUGACUCUCAAACUAGAACAGCAGCACCAGCUCCUUCCUGGACCUCCAGGUCAAUGACUCUCAGACUUCAAAGGCAGCAGCAGCUCCACCCCCAGGCUCCAGCUCUAAAACCCUCAGAUGUGAGCAGUGGCAGCACCAGCUCCUUUCUGCGUCUCCGGCUUCAUGAUCCUUAAAUUAGAACAGCAGCGCCAUCUUCUCCCUGCGUCUCCAGCUCCAGGAACCUCAAACUGCAACAGGAGCACCUGUUCCUCUGGGAUUUUCACCUCCACGACCCUGAGGUGUCAGUGGCAGCACUGGCUCCUCCCCUGGGCUGCAGCUCCAGAACCCUCAAGAAUAAUCCCUUCUCAUGAAAUGUAGCAGUCAGGAAAACUGCAGAGGAAGUAAAUAAAUAAAUGUUUUCUUUCAAA